UUCCUGAGUAGAGCACAUGGAACUUCCUUUUUUUGAAGCCACACCUACAAUAAAUAUUUGAUGUUUGAGAACAUGGUUUACAGUCUCCUUCAUGGCACAAGCUUUCACAUGUAUGAAGCAACUCAUAGCUACCACAAGAAAGAGGUUUGCCACAUGUUUUUCCACAUGAGGGGAUGGGAUCCGUGCAUAUUUUACGUUCAAUACAUCCUAGUUCCAGCAAUUUGCUGAGAGGAGUCUGACCACAGGGACAGCGAUAUACUACUUGUGGAAGUCGUGGACAGAGUUGGCAAGGUUGAGGAUGGCAUACUUGUGUACAGUUGUGCCUACCACAAUUUAAUGUUUUGCCGCAUGUAUUCUGACAUGAGAAACUCCCAAAUCCAUCAUAAAAUUCUUCCUUUGUCCCACAUAAUACUUCUUUAAAGUUUUUUCCACAGUAACACACUUGCUGUACUUUUAGUUGGCAAGGUAAACAUUCUCCUGCAUGGCACACCUGAGUACAUCUGUGCUUG
Molecule: long non-coding RNA, 509 nt
Filed under: Gallus gallus (chicken)
Lineage: Eukaryota; Metazoa; Chordata; Aves; Galliformes; Phasianidae
Source: RNAcentral